Molecule: ribosomal RNA, 460 nt
Filed under: uncultured Desulfobulbus sp.
Lineage: Bacteria; Pseudomonadati; Thermodesulfobacteriota; Desulfobulbia; Desulfobulbales; Desulfobulbaceae
Description: bacterial SSU rRNA
Rfam family: Bacterial small subunit ribosomal RNA
Source: RNAcentral
GCACAAGCGGUGGAGCAUGUGGUUAAUUCGAAGCAACGCGCAGAACCUUACCAGCCCUUGACAUACCGGUCGCGGACACAGAGAUGUGUCUUUCAGUUCGGCUGGACCGGAUACAGGUGCUGCAUGGCUGUCGUCAGCUCGUGUCGUGAGAUGUUGGGUUAAGUCCCGCAACGAGCGCAACCCUUGCCUUUAGUUGCCAGCAGUUCGGCUGGGCACUCUAAAGGGACUGCCGGUGUUAAACCGGAGGAAGGUGGGGAUGACGUCAAGUCCUCAUGGCCUUUAUGACCAGGGCUACACACGUACUACAAUGGCCGAUACAAAGGGCAGCGACACUGCGAGGUGAAGCCAAUCCCGUAAAAUCGGUCUCAGUCCGGAUUGGAGUCUGCAACUCGACUCCAUGAAGUUGGAAUCGCUAGUAAUCGUGGAUCGGCAUGCCACGGUGAAUACGUUCCCGGGCCUU